RNAcentral lists this long non-coding RNA (473 nucleotides) under Mytilus galloprovincialis (Mediterranean mussel). The record is from RNAcentral. Lineage: Eukaryota; Metazoa; Mollusca; Bivalvia; Mytilida; Mytilidae.
GGCCCUAGUAUCGAACCCUGUGGUACGCCUUUAUGGAUGUCAGUCCAACUACUCAGAACAUUGUUGACUUUAGUUUGCUGUUUUCGAUUAGAUAAAUAGGACUUUAAAAGAGCUACUGCAUUGGGGGUUAAACCAUAUGCUGAUAAUUUAUCUAGCAUAAUAUUGUGAGGCAGGCAGUCAAAAGCCUUAGAAAGAUCCAUUAACACUGCUGCAAUGUACUGGUUUUUAUCAAGAGCUUCACGCCAGUCUUCUAACACUCUGAGAAGUGUGGUCUGACAUCCAUGUCCACGUCUAAAUGCACACAAAAAAGGAUUAAAUAUUUUAUCAAAUUAAUCAGUUAAUUGAAUUUCAUAUAUUUUUUCAAAGAUUUUAGAAAAUAUGGGUAAGACACUAACUGGUCUAUAAUUUGUUUUUAAUAAUGGGUCACUCUUUUUAUGAAGGGGGUCACUUGCGCUUCUUUAAGUUUAUCGGGG